GUGCUCACUUCNGCAGCAUGUAUGCUAAAAUUAUAACGAUAAAGGGAUUAGCAUGGUCCCUAUGCAAGGAUGACACACAAAUUUGUGAAGUAUUCUGUGUUAGA
Molecule: small nuclear RNA, 104 nt
Filed under: Neotoma lepida (desert woodrat)
Lineage: Eukaryota; Metazoa; Chordata; Mammalia; Rodentia; Cricetidae
Source: RNAcentral